Molecule: ribosomal RNA, 465 nt
Filed under: Vreelandella stevensii
Lineage: Bacteria; Pseudomonadati; Pseudomonadota; Gammaproteobacteria; Oceanospirillales; Halomonadaceae
Description: partial 16S ribosomal RNA
Rfam family: Bacterial small subunit ribosomal RNA
Source: RNAcentral
CCUACGGGGCGCAGCAGUGGGGAAUAUUGGACAAUGGGCGAAAGCCUGAUCCAGCCAUGCCGCGUGUGUGAAGAAGGCCUUCGGGUUGUAAAGCACUUUCAGUGGGGAAGAAAGCCUUGGGGCUAAUACCCUCGAGGAAGGACAUCACCCACAGAAGAAGCACCGGCUAACUCCGUGCCAGCAGCCGCGGUAAUACGGAGGGUGCGAGCGUUAAUCGGAAUUACUGGGCGUAAAGCGCGCGUAGGCGGUCUGAUAAGCCGGUUGUGAAAGCCCCGGGCUCAACCUGGGAACGGCAUCCGGAACUGUCAGGCUAGAGUGCAGGAGAGGAAGGUAGAAUUCCCGGUGUAGCGGUGAAAUGCGUAGAGAUCGGGAGGAAUACCAGUGGCGAAGGCGGUCUUCUGGACUGACACUGACGCUGAGGUGCGAAAGCGUGGGUAGCAAACAGGAUUAGAUACCCGAGUAGUC